RNAcentral lists this ribosomal RNA (459 nucleotides) under uncultured bacterium. Its description in RNAcentral is "partial 16S ribosomal RNA". It matches the Rfam family "Bacterial small subunit ribosomal RNA", at positions 338 to 795 of the family's 1533-position model. The record is from RNAcentral.
CCUACGGGAGGCAGCAGUGAGGAAUAUUGGUCAAUGGGCGGGAGCCUGAACCAGCCAAGCCGCGUGCGGGAUGACGGUCCAGCGUAUCGUAAACCUCUUUUGUCCGGGAACAAAGUCGGGGACUUGUCGCUGGUUGCAGGUACCUGAAGAAUAAGGAUCGGCUAAUUCCGUGCCAGCAGCCGCGGUAAUACGGAGGAUGCGGGCGUUAUCCGGAUUUAUUGGGUUUAAAGGGGGCGCAGGCGGCCUGUUAAGUCAGCGGUAAAAGCCCGGGGCUCAACCUCGGCGAGCCGUGGAAACUGGCGGGCUGGAGUUGGAGAGAAGUACGCGGAAUGCGCGGUGUAGCGGUGAAAUGCUUAGAUAUCGCGCAGAACCCCGAUUGCGAAGGCAGCGUACCGUCGCCACACUGACGCUGAGGCACGAAGGCGUGGGUAUCGAACAGGAUUAGAUACCCUGGUAGUC